RNAcentral lists this ribosomal RNA (907 nucleotides) under Sporosalibacterium sp. RNAcentral describes it as "bacterial SSU rRNA". It matches the Rfam family "Bacterial small subunit ribosomal RNA", at positions 63 to 985 of the family's 1533-position model. The record is from RNAcentral. Lineage: Bacteria; Bacillati; Bacillota; Tissierellia; Tissierellales; Thermohalobacteraceae.
AAAAUUGAUUCUUCGGAUGAUUUUUUAAUCUUUCUAGCGGCGGACGGGUGAGUAACGCGUGGGAAACCUGCCCUAUACAGGAGGAUAGCCUCGGGAAACCGGGAUUAAUACUCCAUGAAACUCUAGCACCGCAUGGUGCAUGAGUCAAAACUCCGGUGGUAUAGGAUGGUCCCGCGUCCCAUUAGCUAGUUGGUAAGGUAACUGCUUACCAAGGCAACGAUGGGUAGCCGGCCUGAGAGGGUGAUCGGCCACACUGGAACUGAGACACGGUCCAGACUCCUACGGGAGGCAGCAGUGGGGAAUAUUGCACAAUGGGGGAAACCCUGAUGCAGCGAUGCCGCGUGAGCGAUGAAGGUCUUCGGAUCGUAAAGCUCUGUCCUUAGGGAAGAAUUUUGACGGUACCUAAGGAGGAAGCCCCGGCUAACUACGUGCCAGCAGCCGCGGUAAUACGUAGGGGGCGAGCGUUGUCCGGAAUCACUGGGCGUAAAGGGAGCGUAGGCGGCUUUGUAAGUCAGAUGUUAAAGCCAUUGGCUUAACCAAUGUAAGCAUUUGAAACUACAAAGCUUGAGUACAGGAGAGGAGAGUGGAAUUCCUAGUGGAGCGGUGAAAUGCGUAGAUAUUAGGAGGAACACCAGUGGCGAAGGCGACUCUCUGGACUGUUACUGACGCUGAGGCUCGAAAGCGUGGGGAGCGAACAGGAUUAGAUACCCUGGUAGUCCACGCCGUAAACGAUGAGUGCUAGGUGUUGGGGCCGACAGGUUUCAGUGCCGCAGUUAACACAUUAAGCACUCCGCCUGGGGAGUACGAUCGCAAGAUUAAAACUCAAAGGAAUUGACGGGGGCCCGCACAAGCAGCGGAGCAUGUGGUUUAAUUCGAAGCAACGCGAAGAACCUUACCAGGACUUGAC